RNAcentral lists this ribosomal RNA (395 nucleotides) under uncultured bacterium. RNAcentral's name for it is "bacterial SSU rRNA". It matches the Rfam family "Bacterial small subunit ribosomal RNA", at positions 28 to 428 of the family's 1533-position model. The record is from RNAcentral.
GACGAACGCUGGCGGCGUGCUUAACACAUGCAAGUCGAGCGGUAAAGCCCUUUCGGGGGUACACGAGCGGCGAACGGGUGAGUAACACGUGGGUGACCUGCCCUCAGCUCUGGGGUAAGCCCGGGAAACUGGGUCUAAUACCGGAUAUGACUCCAUGACGCAUGUUGUGGGGUGGAAAGCCUUGUGCGGCUGAGGAUGGGCCCGCGGCCUAUCAGCUUGUUGGUGGGGUGAUGGCCUACCAAGGCGACGACGGGUAGCCGGCCUGAGAGGGCGACCGGCCACACUGGGACUGAGAUACGGCCCAGACUCCUACGGGAGGCAGCAGUGGGGAAUCUUGCGCAAUGGGCGAAAGCCUGGCGCAGCGACGCCGCGUGAGGGAUGACGGCCUGGUGUAA